UGAGGAAUAUUGGUCAAUGGACGCAAGUCUGAACCAGCCAAGUAGCGUGCAGGAUGACGGCCCUAUGGGUUGUAAACUGCUUUUAUAUGGGGAUAAAGUGGGGAACGUGUUCCCUUUUGCAGGUACCAUAUGAAUAAGGACCGGCUAAUUCCGUGCCAGCAGCCGCGGUAAUACGGAAGGUUCGGGCGUUAUCCGGAUUGAUUGGGUUUAAAGGGAGCGUAGGCCGUUUGGUAAGCGUGUUGUGAAAUGUAGGAGCUCAACUUCUAGAUUGCAGCGCGAACUGUCAGACUUGAGUGCGCACAACGUAGGCGGAAUUCAUGGUGUAGCGGUGAAAUGCUUAGAUAUCAUGAAGAACUCCGAUUGCGAAGGCAGCUUACGGGAGCGCAACUGACGCUGAAGCUCGAAGGUGCGGGUAUCGAACAGG
RNAcentral lists this ribosomal RNA (424 nucleotides) under Verrucomicrobiota bacterium. Its description in RNAcentral is "Verrucomicrobia bacterium partial 16S ribosomal RNA". It matches the Rfam family "Bacterial small subunit ribosomal RNA", at positions 355 to 776 of the family's 1533-position model. The record is from RNAcentral. Lineage: Bacteria; Pseudomonadati; Verrucomicrobiota.